CUGGCUUUGAACUCGAAGUUUUCCUGCCUUGGCCUCCUGAAUCACUGGGAUUACAGAUGCUCCUUGCCUUAUGAAGGUGUUACUUCCCUGCAAGCCUACAUAAAUUGAAAAUGUUACAAGUGAAAAAAAAUGUAGUUUAUGCAUCUAAUCUACAAGACAUCAUAGCAUAGCCUUGCCUACCUUAAAUGUGCUUAGAACAUCUUAUCUAACUGUAAGGAAAUUUACAAUGUACAAAACUUCAAUCACAGCAAAGUCUACAUGAGCCUAGGAAACAGCCCUGGAUUGCUCCUGGCAAACAUCCUGUGAAAACCCGGUUCAGGAAAAACUGACCUUCAUAGAUUGAGUUAGGGGAAA
This is a long non-coding RNA of Sciurus carolinensis (gray squirrel), 354 nucleotides long. RefSeq lists it as uncharacterized. The record is from RefSeq and is a predicted model, not a curated record. The transcript has 3 exons. Lineage: Eukaryota; Metazoa; Chordata; Mammalia; Rodentia; Sciuridae.